Molecule: ribosomal RNA, 255 nt
Filed under: uncultured bacterium
Lineage: Bacteria
Description: partial 16S ribosomal RNA
Rfam family: Bacterial small subunit ribosomal RNA
Source: RNAcentral
UACGUAGGUGGCAAGCGUUGUCCGGAUUUAUUGGGUUUAAAGGGUGCGUAGGCGGUUUCAUAAGUCAGUGGUGAAAUACGGCAGCUCAACUGUCGAGGUGCCAUUGAUACUGUGAGACUUGAGUACAGACGAGGUAGGCGGAAUUGACGGUGUAGCGGUGAAAUGCUUAGAUAUCGUCAAGAACACCGAUAGCGAAGGCAGCUUACUAGGCUGUAACUGACGCUGAGGCACGAAAAGUGUGGGGAUCAAAACAGG